UCAAGGUUUGCUAGACUAUUCUCAUAUUUCGCAAUCCUUGUCUAAUUUCACUUGUUCCAAUAUCAAAGCUCCGUGUUCGCUUUAUGAAUUGAUAUUUGUGAUGAUGAAUUAACAAAUACUAUCCCUCCGCGUUCGCUUUAUGAGUUUGGUAUUUGUUAAUUCAUUAUCAAAACGGUGAAAUUAGAUUAGAAAGUGGAUUUAUAUAAAAUUAGGGUUUAUGGUUUGGUUUGAUUAGGAUUACGUCAUUAGGCUUAUCCAA
Molecule: long non-coding RNA, 259 nt
Filed under: Medicago truncatula (barrel medic)
Lineage: Eukaryota; Viridiplantae; Streptophyta; Magnoliopsida; Fabales; Fabaceae
Description: long non-coding RNA (MTRU_LNC006919)
Source: RNAcentral